This 218-nucleotide ribosomal RNA is filed under the name uncultured bacterium. RNAcentral's name for it is "partial 16S ribosomal RNA". It matches the Rfam family "Bacterial small subunit ribosomal RNA", at positions 1283 to 1500 of the family's 1533-position model. The record is from RNAcentral.
CCAUCCCAGUUCGGAUUGCAGGCUGCAACCCGCCUGUAUGAAGUUGGAAUCGCUAGUAAUCGCGGAUCAGCAUGCCGCGGUGAAUACGUUCCCGGGCCUUGUACACACCGCCCGUCACACCAUGAGAGUCGGGAACACCCGAAGUCCGUAGCCUAACCGCAAGGGGGGCGCGGCCGAAGGUGGGUUCGAUAAUUGGGGUGAAGUCGUAACAAGGUACC